Molecule: ribosomal RNA, 851 nt
Filed under: Gammarus nekkensis
Lineage: Eukaryota; Metazoa; Arthropoda; Malacostraca; Amphipoda; Gammaridae
Description: partial large subunit ribosomal RNA
Source: RNAcentral
CUUACAACGAGAAUGUCCUAAGGGCUUUCUUAUAUUUUUAUAGAGAAUAAGACAGGUUAAGAAGAACUAUUAGUUGUACCUUUUGUAUCAGGGGCGCUCAAAAGUGCAAUGAUAAAAAAAUCGAAUAAAUCAGGUCCUUUUAGUUAGUUUUAGUUGCAUUUAAAAGUUAUAGUUAAUUAAGAGGUGAAAAGUGAACGGUGGUUAUGUUAUCUAGUUGUUUUAGAAUUUAAGGGGCUAAGCUCUUAAAAAUCUAGAAUAAAUUUUAAUAAAAAGAGCUAGGCCUUAAAUUAGCCGUGUUAUUAGAUUGUUUCAAGUAAUUUUUUAUGUAAUUGAGUAAUAGAGUUAUAAGGACAAUGCUUAAAUAUAAAGUUUAGUAUAAAUAAUGGGUUUAUUGAAUAUAAGAAAGGAGCUUAAAAAUAACUCGGAUCAGUUAGAAAGUUUAACAAAAACAUUUCUAUUAGUAUAAAUGAAAGUAAGGCCUGCCCGGUGAUAUUUAACGGCUGCGGUAUUUUAACCGUGCUAAGGUAGCAUAAUCAUUUGUUAUUUAAUUGGUAGCUGGAAUGAAAGGUUAAACUAGCUUACUUGGUUUGUAAAGCUACAUAGGAAAUUUAAGUUAAGGUAAUAAUUCCUUAAUUUUCUAGGGGACGAUAAGACCCUAGAAGCUUAAUAAAUGAGUAUUUUUUUAGUGGCGAGUCGAAAUUUAUUUUACUGGGGGCGGUAUUAGUAUUUAAACUACUAGUUAGACAGGCAGAUCUUUUAUAUAAAGAAAAAGCGGAUAAGUUACUCUAGGGUUAACAGUGUGAUAUACUUGGAGAGGCCUUAUUGAUAAGUAUGAUUACAACCUCGAUGUU